This 555-nucleotide long non-coding RNA is filed under the name Carica papaya (papaya). RNAcentral's name for it is "long non-coding RNA (CPAP_LNC003316)". The record is from RNAcentral. Lineage: Eukaryota; Viridiplantae; Streptophyta; Magnoliopsida; Brassicales; Caricaceae.
GUUCUUCUUUUCUUCCUCUCCUUCUCUCUCUAGAUCACUUUCUUUCUCUCUCUCUCUCUAACUCUUGAAAGGUGGAAAAAUGGAAGUGUAGAGAAAAUAGGAGGAAGGACCCUUAUUUAUAGAAAAUGGGAGCCGUUGGAUUUAUGCCAAGUGGCAAAAUCCAGUAAAGAGAGAGAGAGUAAAAAGAUGCUUGGCACAAAAACAGAAGAGAAAGACCUCCUCCAUCGGCGGUGGCACCAUAAGCGACAGCACACAGCCCGAGGUGGGCUGCGGCACGCUGUCCGAGGUGGUAGUGGCCUCAUCCGCCCAGCACACGCGCUGCAACCUAGCUGUAAGCGCCGGGCUACCCUGCCGCAUGUAGGGCUGGCCUGAACGCAGAACCCAGGCGUGCAGGCCUGCUGCACGAACUACCUAUCUGCGCAUGAUGUGACGCGCACGGACAGGUUCCACUUUCGCACAACAAGACGUGCGUACUGUGUGCAUGUCCUGAGCCUGUCGCACACGCACGCGCAGGCUCCCACGCAGGCAGCCCAUUCCCGUGGGAUUUUUCACGUG